Molecule: long non-coding RNA, 9743 nt
Filed under: Vigna radiata
Lineage: Eukaryota; Viridiplantae; Streptophyta; Magnoliopsida; Fabales; Fabaceae
Description: long non-coding RNA (VRAD_LNC001057)
Source: RNAcentral
CGGAUUUCAGAUAAUGAAAUUAACCAGGUGUGCUACUGCGGAUACUAUGAAAAGAAGGUAGAAAGAAAAUUAGUUAAAUUAGUUUUGCAACUAGUGCAUUUCAUGCGGCUAAAAUUUAUCAUUUUAAAGGUUUUCAAUCGAGUAGAGUUAGGGUAUAAUGUGAGUGAGAGAACGGCGGUACGGCGGAAAUUGCGAGACGAACACUUUUGAGGUUUAGAACUGGUUUUCGAGUGUCAGUGAGGGGUACUGAGAGAGCGAGUGCAAUGUGGCCAGAGAAUGGGAAUUUAGAGGUAGAGAAUGAGCGUCGGGAUGGAGAAUGAGAGAUACGCCGUGGUAGGAAGGUCAAAACAGGUAUGGGGAGCUAUGUUCUAUGGCUGUUUAAGUAUUUUACUUGUGUUCUAUUUUUGGUUUGGGAUUGUAUGGUUGUGAUGAUAGUGAGUUGAAUUGGAUGUUUCUAUAAUUCUGAAGUAUUUGUAAAAGGGUAUGGUGUGAUUGUUGUUUGUCCAGUAUUGUUGAUCUCAAACAGAAAAUGUUAAACUCUGGAACCGUUGGUUGUCUCUAAAGUAAUGUUAAUCUGUGAAAUGUUGAGUAUUGGUCUAAAACAAUAGGUAGUCUAAAUGGAGUAACUUGUGAUUGCGUAAUUACUUGGCAGACUUUGAAAUUAUGUGAGAUUCGGGAACAUUGUAUUGUUUGGAAUAUUUUAUUUUAAAUUGAAAAUGAACUUAUAAGCAAAGAAAUGUUUAUUAUAUCAAUCAAUGCUCGGGUUGGAUAUUUUUAUAAUGUGAUUGUGCUUUCCGUGUUUGAGCAUGGUUGAUAUGCAUUUACAAACGACUGGGCAUGUGUUUAGAGUUAAAUUAAAUUAUGAAUGGCUGUAUGAACUGAAUUGAGUUAAACUGAAACCUUAUUAGGCAGUUCAGAAACUUGAUAAUGUAGUGAUCACAUCGUUCUUGUUCUGUUUUACUCGCCUGUUAAUCAAUUAAAGGAAACAGAUCUGUUUUGGGGUAGUAGGCGAAAGCUGAAUGAAGUUUUAUAAUGAGAUAUUAGGGGCUGGUGGGUUAUAAUAGGUUGAGAGUAACUGGGCAUUAGACGUUGACGUGCCAAGUUGGUUGGACAUGCUACUUGUUACAUGAUACUCAUAUAUGACUGGAUGAUUUGAUUACUUGCGUUUUCUGGAAUGAAUUUGAGUAAUAGUAAGUUUAUCAGUGAUUACUAGGUGAGACUUUGAUGGAAAAAUGGUUUUAAGCUAAGGCCAGGUUAUGCUAUACGUAUAUACUGUUGAAUGAAUGCACUGAUCUUGCCAUUUGAAACUAAUCAGUAAGACAUGAUUAAUUGGUAAAUGUGCAUGUUCUAAUCAUCCUGAAAGGAAAAUAUGGUUGAACUAAAUAGGAUAGUUUGGUAAUCUGAUUGUGAAGAAUGGAAAACUGAAUGUAUAAGGUCCGUUUACGAAUGGUUAAUUAUGUAUGGAGAAUGUCUCUCUGUGAAUGUUUGCCAAUCACGUAUUGGAUGCCAGGUUGCAACUGAACACUGUAGGGUGUAUUUGAGCAUGGGUAGAAUGUGUAAUUCUGCCUUAGGAGCAGAUUGAUAAAGGGUGGAGACGUUAAUUUGAUUGAGUACCUUGCAUCAGUUUAAAUGAUGUUUUAAAGUGGAUGAAUGCAUAACUGACAAUGUGUAAUAUGUAAAGUGGUUGUGGUGGGCGUGAAUGUUAUUUACGUGCAGAUCUCAGUGUGUUUGAUGAUGUAAUGCAGAUUUAUGACGGGUGUGUUAUGAUGAACUUGUUUUGGUAUUGCAAGAGUUUGCAACAUCACGUAUGGGGAUGAUGGUUAUGAACCUUACCUUAAAUUGUGACUGUGAUACUAUGCUCUGGGUUUUGGUAAAGUAUUGUAAACUGUUAAAUGUGAUAUGUGGCUGGUUGUAGAUAUUGCAAAGGUUGUACAUGUUUUAGGUUAUGUUCAAGUGAUCUAAAUUAGUCAUAUUGUAUUAUAAAUGAUCAUAGAAGUGUUAGAUUGAUUUGUGUAGUUUAUUGAUUGGUUUAAUAUGUUGCUGUGUUGUCUAUUCAAAUGGUCGUCUUUAGUAUGUAUUGGGAUUUUAAAAAAGAAUUGUAAUUUUAAUGUAUUGGGUUUCAAACAAUUUUGUAAUUGUGUACAUUUGGAUUUUCCUAUUGAGUUUUUUAAAUAUUAAAUAAUACUGGUUUAUUGUAUAAUUAAAAUCAAUUUAUUAUAGAAAUCAUUCUUGGGUUUUCGAAAUUGUUAAGGUUAAGUGACUUCUAAAUUUGGAGCGUUACAUUUGGUAUUAGAGUUAGGUUUUUGAAAAAAAAUUUGGACCGUGAGGAGUGAGUUCGUCUAGUUUCUAAUGAGCACUCUAAUUGUUGUAGAGUUUUAGGUUGUGAAUGAUUGAUUGAGAUGUAAUUGAUUGUUUAUGUAGUUGGUUCCAUACUUGACAUGAAUUUUGACCUUGAAAUUCCUUGAGUCUUUUGGAAUGUGAGUAUCAUGUGACUUGGGCCAUGCAUAAAGUUGAAUUUCCAUAUACAUAUUUGUCAUGAACCUGCUAAGGCUGGAUGGAUUAGUUAGUUGGAUGAGUUGAGUAUCGGGAGCUGACUUGUAUUUGGUUGUUUAGAUGCUUUGAAAUCUGCGUUCUUGUUUGUUCCUGAUUCGUAAUUAUGGUAUUGUUAGUACAUCGUAUGCAUAUUCAGUUGAUAAAGUGUGUGUCAUAUCAUUGAUUCUAAUUCUAUAAUGUUUGACGCCUUUAAGUUUUGUAAAGAUGACAAUUGAUUUGAAUUUGAGUUCUGGAAUUUGGAAGUACAUACUGUAUUCUGUUUCAAUUGUUAAACAAUGUGGAUUCUGGUUACGUGUUUUGAAAUUACUUCCUGGCUGAUAGCUUAUGUGGCCAUCUGAAUUUAAUAUCCUGCCAUGCUGGAUUUACUCUGUUUCUAUUGAUGUGUGUAGUAGAUAUGGACAAAUUCGUGAUAUAUGUAUAUGUUCUAUUUUGAGAAAAGAGAACUUUGAGUGUUAGAAUGGGAUGUAGAUGGUUAAACUUGGUGGACUGUGAUACGUAAUAUAUGGUGUACUUGAGUGGAUGGUUUGGUUCUUUUAAGCUGUAACAUAGUUUUCUUAAGAACUCAGAAAUUGUCAUGAAUGCUGUUAUGUGAUACAUUGACUGAAGAAUGCUUGACGUAUGCUUUAACUGGUUUGAAUUCAAAGCUCCUUGAAACUGUGAUAGUCUAGGUUCUAUAUUAAUAUAAGGGUCUUUUAUGCACAUGUCACAAAAAAGUCAGAAUUUGACCGUCUAGUUGGGGCGGACUAUUUGAACUAAACCAAAAUUGAAUGAAGAACUGCAUGUUACAAAAUGUUGUGGGUAGAAUGGAAUAAGGAGUUAUAUAAUGUUCUGAUAUGGGGGUAAGCUUUGCAUGAGAUGUAGGUAUGUAGAACAGGAUAUUGAAAUCUGAAUGAACUUAGUAUUUGACCCUAAAUCCUAAAAUGGUAUAAUACAAUUGUUAAUGACUCUCUCGGAAAUUGUUUUGACCUUGGUAUGGAAAUCUGAUUUUAUUUCUGAAAACAGAUUGCUUUGAAAUGUUAUAAUGUAUGCGUAAUAUGCUUGAUAAGAUUGUAUAUUGAGUGUAUGCAGUCAUUAUGGUGAAAUGCUAGUAAUUCUCUAUGUCCUGUAAUUAGCUGGGAUGAUUCUGGUGAAAUAAAGGGAUUAUUAGCUGAAUAACAGAUAUGCUAUAGUUGCCAUUUCAUGUGAGUAUAAGCUGUUUUCCAUAACCAUGAGGCAGAAAAACUGGCGGUGAUGUGUGGUUUUGAUAGAGAACUCUGCACUAGAGAACCUUGAAGUUUGACUUAAAUACUGCACCCAAAAUCCGUUUGUUUUGAACCCAAUAUCUUUCAUUAAAACGCUGCUGUUUUGCACUAGGCUUUUAGGCUCUUUUCUGCAUCAAAUAAGUGUUGUUCUGCAUUGUUGGCUGGCUGUUUAAGCAUUGUAUUAUUGUUGUUUUUACACUGUUUUAAUUACUGUUUCUGGACUAGAAAGUCUUGCUGUUUGGAUUAAAAUUUCUGCACCAAAACAUUGCUGUUUUGGUUAAAUUGCUGCAGGGAAUUCUUUGCUGUUUAGAAUAAAAAUCUGUAGAAACUAGGUGCUGUUUUAGAAUAAGUAUCUGCAGAACAUUGGUGCGGUUUUAGAAUAUAAAUCUGCAGAAAAUUGGUGCUGUUUUAGAAAGAACUCUGCUGAAAAUUUUUUGCUGUAUAAGAUGGCUUUGGAUUCAUGUCUGUUUAAUAUUAGGAAAAGAGUAUAAUAUAUUUCAAAUAGAAGUAGGCUUAACUCUGGAACAAUAAUCUGAUUUAUGUUGUUCAAAACCUUUAUGCAUACUAGUGUGUGACUUAUGGAUGUCCGAAUUAUAAUUGGCAUUAUUUCAGCAAAAAUAUGAUUGAAUGUGUUAUGGUAUACGUGUUGGAUGAUGGAAUACUGUCUUGGUUUGCCUUGACAAAUUUUCUUUGAGUAUCAAUGGGUAUACUAAAAAAUUUGCAUUACAACAUACUAAAACAACACAUUAAAACACAACGCCACUGUUAGAUGGUAGAACUGAAAGUGAUUACAAAUUGGAAAUGCAAAACCAAAGUACAAAGAUUGAAUAUUGAAAAGCUAUAUGUUCCUUCGACACAAAGGACAAGUGUGAUUGAUGUCGAGCCAUUUUUUGAUGCAGUGGUGAUGAAAGAUAUGAGAACAUGGGUGGGGUAUGCGAAUUGCUCUUGAUCCAAUUGCAAUUUCCUCAAGACAUAUACUGCAGGAAUCUUCUGUUUUUUCUUCAAUUAUAAACUUUUCAAGAUUUUUCAAAGAAUUAUAGUUGUUUUGCACGGAAUCAAAGAUCAAAACAUUAUCUUGGUUUGAUCUUAAACUUCUAUUGUUAUUGUUUUGCAUGUUGCUGCCACCCAAGCUCAUGGAAUCAAAGAUAUAAACUUCACCAUCUUCUUCACCUGAUCUUAAAUUUCCACUAUGGGCGAUAUUGCGGUGAUCCUGAAUCACAAAUUCGAUGAUAAAGCCAUCAUCUUCAAUUGACCACUGCAUUGUCAUUCCUGUUACACAAAAAAGAUAGGAGAAAUCAAAACUUGAAAGAUCGAAUGGGGUAGUUUAUUAAGAAAAGAGUACACAAAAUCAUUUGAAAAAUCUAAUAACUUGUUUGAUGUAGGAGAGUUCCUCACUUUGAGAUCACCUUAUACUAUAGAGUUAACUUUUGUUUUGAGAGUUUGAAGCUUUUCUUUCUUUUUUCUCACAAUGAAAUGAAUGACUCAUGGAAGGUAGUAUAUAUAAUAAAAUUUAAUGAAAUAUAAUAAAUUAAAAGAUACAAUCUUGACAACUAUAGUCAUAUACAAAUUAACGUAAUUAAAUAAUAUAUUAUUAAAUUACAUUUAAGUUGGUUUCAUGUAUAGUCAUUAUUCAAAGUCAAAUCAUAAUAGAUAUAGUAAAUUGAAAAUGAUAUUAGUUAGUUAGAUAUUAAUUGGACUCUGAGUAAUGUAUCUUGAUUAUAAUUUUACAUUUAAAGUAUAAAAAAGGAAACAUUAAUAAUAGAAAAAUACAACCUUAUCUAUAUUUAAUUUGAUUAUCAUAUACAAAUUAUAGUAAUUAAGUAGUAUAUUAUUAAAUUGCAUUUAAGUUGGUUUCAUUAUUCAAAAUCAAAUCAAAAUAGUUAGACUAAGAAUUAAAAGAUAUUAGUUAAUUACAUAUUAAUUAGGCUCUAAGUAAUGUAUCUUGAUUAUAAUUUUACAUUUAAAAUAUAAAAAAAAGGAAACUUUAAAAAUAGAAAAAGUAAUCUUAUAUAUAUUUAAUGUUGGCUGGCUGUUUCGGCGUGUUGUAUUAUUGCUGUUUUUACAUUGUUUUUAUUACUGUUUAUGGACUAGAAAGUCUUGCUGAUUGGAUUACAAUUUCUGCACUAAAAGAUUUUUGUUUUGAUUAAAUUGCUGCAGGGAAUUCUUUGCUGUUUAGAAUAAAGAUCUGCGGAAACUUGGUGCUGUUUUAGAAUAAAUAUCUGCUGAAAAUUGGUGCUGCUUUAGAAAAUAAAUCUGCAGAAAAUUAGUGCUGUCUUAGAAAAAACUCUGCUGAAAAUUUUUUGUUGUAUGAGAUGGCUUUGGAUUCAUGUUUGUUUGAUAUCAGGAACAUUAGGGCAUGACAAAAACAACCGAUCUUAACUGUAUUAAAACUGAACUUACAUAAGUGUAAUUGUCAUCCACUUUUUUCUAAUUUUCGUUCAACUAGAAAAAGUUAUUUAAUAAUAAAAUAUUAAUAAAAAAAUUAUUUAUAUAAAAAAUUAAUAAUUAAUUUUUUAAGACAAUUUUUUAAUUACAAUUUUUUAUAUUAUUUUAUCAAUAAAUAUAUAUUAUUUUUUAAAUAAUAUUAUUUUAAAUAAUAAAAGUAAAAUAUAUUUUUUUUAAAAUUUAAUUUUAUUAAAUAAUUAAGUAAUAGAAAUCAUAAAAGAAAAAAGACUAUAUAAAAAAAAUAUUUUAAAUAUACUAUUUUUUUAACAUGUUAUUAAAUAUGUUAAAAAAACUUUUAUAAUGAUAUUAAAAUAUACGCACACACUAAAAUAACUAUUUAUUUUAAAAAUUAACUUAUUUUAAAAUAAAUAUCAAUACUAUUAUUUUUAAAUGAUAGUAUUUUACAUAAUAAAACUAAAAUAUAUUUUUUAAUGUUAAAUUUUAUUAAAUGACUAUAUAAUGAAAUAUCAUAAAAAAAUAGUAAUAUAGCAAAAAUAAUUAUUAUUAUAGAAAUAUCAAAUGACAAAAAAAAAAUUAACAAAUUUUCUAGUAUCAUCUUUUAUUAUAUUAUAAUAGUUAAUAAUAUUAAUUUAAUUUUUACAUAAUAAAAUAUAAAUAAUAAAUAAUUGAUUAAUAAAACAAUUUUAUGAGGCAUUAAAAUAAAUAUAAAUAAAAAAUUAUUUUAAAAUAAAAUAAGCACAUAAAAAGAUAAAAUAAAUUAUAUACACAUAUAAAACAAAAAAAUAUAAAUAAAAAAUUAAAAAACAAAUAUAAAAGUAAAAUAAUAUUCAUGACAAAAUAAAUAUAAAUAAAAAAAGUAAAAAAUAAAAUAAAAUAAAAAAAUAAAAAAUAAAAAAAUUUCCAUACACAUAUAAUAAUAAAAGAAAUAUAAAUAAAAUAGAAAAUAAUAAUAUCAAAUAAUUUAAAAAUUAAUUUGUAAUACACUUAUGAAUAAAAUAAAUUAAAUAUUAAAAUAAAUUUUAAUUAAAAAGAACAUAUAUUAUUAUACUAUUCAGUUUAAAAACUAAUAUAAUUCCGUUUAAAAUUAGUACAAUUUAGUUUAAAAUUAGUAUAGUUAGUAGUUCAGUUCAGUUUAUAUUAUAGUUUAGUAUAAUUUAGUAUAGUUCAGUCCAGUUUAAUAAAACAAAAAACAGUUCAAUUUAUCUGAACUGUUUUACAGUUCAAUUUAGACAAAUUAAUUUUUAAAUUAGUACAAAUUUUAGUACACUGCAGUUCAGUUUUAUUUUCCACCUCUAAAGAAGAUAGUAUAUGAUAUAUUUCAAAUAGAAGCAGGCUUACUUCUGGAACAAUAAUCUGAUUUGUGUUGUUGAAUACCUUUAUGCGUACAGUGUGUGACUUAUGGAUGUCCGAAUUAUAAUUGGUAUUAUUUCAGCAAAAUAUGAUUGAAUGUGUGUUGUGGUAUAUGAUUGAAUUAUAAUUAAGAGUUUGAAACUUUUCUCUUUUUUUUUCUUUCACAAUUAAACGAAUGACUCAUGGAAGCUUGUAUAUAUAAUAAAAUCUAAUGGAAAAUGUAAUAAAUUAAAAGAUACAAUCUUGAAAACUAUAAUCAUAUACAAAUUAAUGUAAUUAAAUAAUAUAUUAUUAAAUGAUAUUUAAGUUGGUUUCAUCUGUUAUCAUUAUUCAAAGUCAAGUCGUAAUAGUUAUGAUAAAAAGAAAAUGAUAUUAAUUAGUUACAUAUUGAUUUGUAUCUUGAUUAUAAUUUUACAUUUAAAAUAUAAAAUAGGAAACAAAUGCAAUCUUAUCUAAUUUAAUGUGAUUAUCAUAUAUAUAUAUAUAUAUAUAUAUAUAUAUAUAUAUAUAUAUAUAUAUAUAUAUAUAUAUAUAUAUAUAUAUAUAUAUAAAUUAUCGUACUUAAUAGUAUAUUAUUAAAUCAUAUUUAAGUUGCUUUCAUUAUUUAAAAUCACAUUAGUUAUAGUAAAAAUAAAAUGAUAUUAGUUGGUUAUAUAUGAAUUACAUAUUAAUUAGACGAUUAAUAUUCAAAAUCCAAUCAUAAUAGUUAUAUACUAAAAAUUAAAUGAUAUAGUUAAUUACGUAUUAAUUAGGCUCUAAAUAAUAUAUCUUGAUUAUAAUAUUAGAUUUAAAAUAUAAAAAAGGAAACUUUAAUAAAAAUUAAAUGAUAUUAGUUAAUUACAUAAUAAUUAGACUAUAGUAAAUAUAAAAUGAUGUUAGUUAGUUAUAUAUUAAUUACAUAUUAAAUAAGCUAUUAUUAUUCAAAAUCCAAUUAUAGAUGUUAGUUAGUUAUAUAUUAAUUACACAUCUUAUAAUGAAAUACAUUAAAAGAUACCAUCGUGAAAAACAUAAUCUUAUCCAAAUUACUCUUGUUAAAUAACAUAUCAAAUUAAAUUUGAAAUAGUUUAAUCAUACUUUAAUCAAGUCCAAAGCAUAAUAGUUAUAGUGAAAAUAAAAUGGUCAAAGUUAGUUAUAUAUUAAAAAAUAGGUAUGUGUAAGUGAAAUACCUUGAUCAUAUUAAAUAGGUGUGUCUAAUGUAAAUUAUAAAUUUAUAAAUUUGAUCAUAUUUAAUGUGAUUGAAGAAAAUUAUAAAUUUAUCGGAAUGGAAUAAAAGUUAUUUUCAAAUAAUAUAGAUACUAAAAAUAAAAUUGAGUUCUUUCUUUAUUUAUACAAUAAUUGAGAAGAUAGAAUUAAAUUGAGAAAGAGGUUAGUUAGUGAUUGUUAAAUUAAUGGUUUGUAAUAUAUUUUUCACUCAUUACUACAAAGAAUAAAAUCUAUAAUGAAAUCUAUCAAAAAUCUAUUGUGAUAUUAAAAAAAAAAAAUUGUUCUUUUAACGAACAUUACAUAAAACAUUCUAGAAUUGUUCUGAAGAAAUGAUUUUACCAUAAUAGGUUUUAUGAUAAGAUAGUAAAUAAUAAUCAAUUUAGACUGUAACGGAAAUUUUUAUUAGUUUUUUUUUUUUUUUUCAUAAUUUCGUUCUACACUUGCAUAAAACGACAGAAAAUAUAUUGAAAGAAAUAGCAACAUAUUAAUGAAGGUGAUUAGAAAUUUUGACAAAAUCAAUAAGAAUUGUAAUUCGUAAUCCACUUUUGAACAAGAAAACUAUAAUAUGUUUCUUUUUUGUCUAACAAGAUUUGUAUUACAAAAUACUAAAACAAUAACACAUUAAAACACAAUGACAUUAUUGUUUUGUUCUUCAAAGGAGUGAGAUAAACAUGUUAGAACGUAUAAAGUGAUUAGAAAUUGGCAAUGCAAAACCGAAGUAAGAUAUUAUAGAUUGAAAAGCUAUGUGUUCCUACGACACAAAGGACAAGUAUGAUUGAUGUCGAGCCAUUUUGCGAUGCAGUGGUGAUGAAAUAUAUGUGAACAUGGGUGGGGUAUGCAAAUUGCUCUUUAUCCAAUUGCAAGUUCCUCAAGACAUGCAACAAGAAUAUUCUGUUUUUUUCUUCAACUAUAAACCUUUCAAGACUUUUCAAAGAAUCAUAGUUGUUUUGCACAGAAUCAAAGAUCAAAACACUAUCUUGGUUGGAUCUU